CAGUCGCCGCGGGAAUACAGAGGGUGCGAGCGUUAAUUGGAUUUACUGGGCGUAAAGCGUGCGUAGGCGGCUUUUUAAGUCGGAUGUGAAAUCCCUGAGCUUAACUUAGGAAUUGCAUUCGAUACUGGGAAGCUAGAGUAUGGGAGAGGAUGGUAGAAUUCCAGGUGUAGCGGUGAAAUGCGUAGAGAUCUGGAGGAAUACCGAUGGCGAAGGCAGCCAUCUGGCCUAAUACUGACGCUGAGGUACGAAAGCAUGGGGAGCAAACAGGAUUAGAUACCCCAGUAGUCCCUGUCUCUUAUAC
RNAcentral lists this ribosomal RNA (301 nucleotides) under uncultured bacterium. Its description in RNAcentral is "partial 16S ribosomal RNA". It matches the Rfam family "Bacterial small subunit ribosomal RNA", at positions 509 to 807 of the family's 1533-position model. The record is from RNAcentral.